Molecule: long non-coding RNA, 262 nt
Organism: Hipposideros armiger (great roundleaf bat)
Lineage: Eukaryota; Metazoa; Chordata; Mammalia; Chiroptera; Hipposideridae
Exons: 3
Source: RefSeq, a predicted model, not a curated record
GAAUCUCGAGAAGUUUUAUCCUUUGUAAGAGCCAUCCUGUGUACCGUCACAUUUCCCAUAACCACCAGCUAAACAAUAUCUGCUAUAUAGACCGCGCAUGUGGCCACUCCCGUUUCGAGAUUCCAGAUGACAGAUGCUGAGUUGCUGGCUGCUCUCAGUCGAGCUCCUGACCCAGAAAGUUGCAGGAGGGGCUGCUGCAGUUUGCUCUUUCACAAAAGCCACGUUUCCUGAGAUUUCCCUGAUUCCUGGACCGCAUUGAGAU